CGUCACUGUAGCAUUUGUUUGAACGAUCUUUAUAAGAGAAAUGAGAGAAGAGAACGGGAGAGAGAAUGACACUUUGAUCUUGAUAUUUUUACACAAUAAGACACGAGACAGUUAAUGUGAUAAUUAAUCGAGAUCAGGAAAUUGGAGAGGCUUGUUACGAACCGAAAUUACAGAGAAUGAUUAUAGUGUAACUUAACAGUACUGCGAACGAGAUUAGAAGGCUAGACAGGGUAUAGUAUACGGCAGACAAGACGGCAGACUGCAAAGCAAAGGGUUAAGUAAGUGAUGCACCCCAUUCAACUCACUGUUUCUUUCUCUUUUUCUUUUUCUCCGUCUAUUGCUCUAUCUAUCUCUAUUUCACAUUACGGCGAUAACGAUUAUCUACAUUAAAAGACCGUCCAAGGCAGUUACGACGAAAAACGAAGACAUGUAGGAGAUCUCGUAUACACAAUGCUACUGGCAAAGUCGAUUAUGGUGAAUCGUUGAAGCAAUUCACGGAAUCACGACUUGCUAACUAAUGUGUCCGAUGAUAUAACGAAUUACGAGAGAGUAUCCGCAACAUCAACAAGUAGUAAUAGCUCGAACGAACUCUUCCAUUAUCUUAUUAAAUCCACUAAAGAAAGAGAAAGAGAGAAAGAGAAAGAGAGAGAGAGAGAGAGAGAGAGAGAGAGAGAAAAUAUCGAUAUUUUCUCGACUCGGGAAACUUUCUCACGUCAGUUUUAUAUACGAUGCACAUCAAGUGUAAAAUGCGACGUAGACGGACAUGUAAUCGGACGAUCUCGUUUAACGGGAGAUGAAAAAUUCCCGUAAAUAAUAUCUACGUGUCUCUGAUAGCUAAGGAUACGCUGUCAACAUAUACGUUCCAUGAAAUGACACGGGUGAGAUUUUAUUUUCAAUAUGAAAAAAGUAAAUUAAAUUGUGUACAAGCGAAUGCUGUUCUUAGAUAUCCUUUCUCCUUUCUCCUUCAUUCGGUUUUCCUUCCGUUCUCAGAUUUCGUAAGUAAUCACAUAGUGCGGUUCUGUAAUUAUUUUCGAAAUCGAAUGGAUAACAAUCGUUUCUUGAGUUUAUUGGUCAUCGAUAAUCGAUAAGAACGGGAGUAGUAUCUUGAAGGAUUGAAAGUUUUUUGAUAUUGACCCAUUGUUUCGUGACUGUUCUUUUAACAAGCAUUUACCCUUUUCAAACGUAGAUCCGUACAUUCCAUUUACUUUCGUCUUCAAUUUCUAGUCGAAUUUAUUUUACGAUUCUAUAUAAACGUACAUCAAAAGGACAGCGAACGUAUUAAAGAGAAAGAAGGAUUGACCCUCGAAAGAUGGUUCCGUCUUUGACGUCUCACCAUGUCCUUGAACGACGCGGAUGGGAUUCCUCGAUUCGCUUCACGAAUUACUAGAGACGUGAAGAUCCUUCCAAGGAAGCUACGAAGGAACGUUAGCAGCUGCCACGUGCGAUUGCGUACGAUAAAGUAAAGAAAAUGAGAUGGAUAAAGAGAGGGGGAAAGUGAGAGGGGGAAAGUGAGAAAAUUAUUUGACUUUGAAACGUCGAGCUAUCUGACUAUGCAGAAACAUACGAGUAUCUUCGUGGAUCAACUCUAAUAAACUUAAAAAUGAUAAUGAAUGAAGAAUCUGAUGUGUUUUCGGUCACAAAUUGUUAAAACAUUAAUUGUUACAAUGAUGUUUGAAAUAUGAAUAUAAAUUAAAAUGAAUUGACAGAAAGGAGAAAGAUUAAGGGUUGUAAAAAAAAAAAAAAAAAAAAAAAAAAGGAAGAAAGAUUUGUUUUUCUACAUUUCGAAAUGACGCAGAAUAAGAGUCGUUUCUACCGAGAAGAAUCUGGGGACCGGUUCUUACGGCAGGUUUUUACCUCUACUAUUAAUAAACGUUAUAAGUACAUA
Vespa velutina is the source of this 1885-nucleotide long non-coding RNA. RefSeq lists it as uncharacterized. The record is from RefSeq and is a predicted model, not a curated record. The transcript has 2 exons. NCBI's taxonomy places the organism in Eukaryota, Metazoa, Arthropoda, Insecta, Hymenoptera, Vespidae.